Molecule: ribosomal RNA, 420 nt
Filed under: Aeromonas sp.
Lineage: Bacteria; Pseudomonadati; Pseudomonadota; Gammaproteobacteria; Aeromonadales; Aeromonadaceae
Description: bacterial SSU rRNA
Rfam family: Bacterial small subunit ribosomal RNA
Source: RNAcentral
AACAGUUGGAAACGACUGCUAAUACCGCAUACGCCCUACGGGGGAAAGGAGGGGACCUUCGGGCCUUUCGCGAUUGGAUGAACCCAGGUGGGAUUAGCUAGUUGGUGGGGUAAUGGCUCACCAAGGCGACGAUCCCUAGCUGGUCUGAGAGGAUGAUCAGCCACACUGGAACUGAGACACGGUCCAGACUCCUACGGGAGGCAGCAGUGGGGAAUAUUGCACAAUGGGGGAAACCCUGAUGCAGCCAUGCCGCGUGUGUGAAGAAGGCCUUCGGGUUGUAAAGCACUUUCAGCGAGGAGGAAAGGUUGGCGCCUAAUACGUGUCAACUGUGACGUUACUCGCACAAGAAGCACCGGCUAACUCCGUGCCAGCAGCCGCGGUAAUACUGAGGGUGCAAGCGUUAAUCGGAAUUACUGGGCG